GGAUUGAAAUGGGGGCACCCUGAUCCAGCAAUGCCGCGUGUGUGAAGAAGGCCUUCGGGUUGUAAAGCACUUUUGUCCGGAAAGAAAACUUCGUCCCUAAUAUGGAUGGAGGAUGACGGUACCGGAAGAAUAAGCACCGGCUAACUACGUGCCAGCAGCCGCGGUAAUACGUAGGGUGCGAGCGUUAAUCGGAAUUACUGGGCGUAAAGCGUGCGCAGGCGGUUUGUUAAGACCGAUGUGAAAUCCCCGGGCUCAACCUGGGAACUGCAUUGGUGACUGGCAAGCUUUGAGUAUGGCAGAGGGGGGUAGAAUUCCACGUGUAGCAGUGAAAUGCGUAGAGAUGUGGAGGAAUACCGAUGGCGAAGGCAGCCCCCUGGGCCAAUACUGACGCUCAUGCACGAAAGCGUGGGGAGCAAACAGGGUUAGAUACCCUGGUAGUCCACGCCCUAAACGAUGUCAACUAGUUGUUGGGGAUUCAUUUCCUUAGUAACGUAGCUAACGCGUGAAGUUGACCGCCUGGGGAGUACGGUCGCAAGAUUAAAACUCAAAAAAAUUGACGGA
RNAcentral lists this ribosomal RNA (561 nucleotides) under uncultured bacterium. RNAcentral's name for it is "bacterial SSU rRNA". It matches the Rfam family "Bacterial small subunit ribosomal RNA", at positions 359 to 917 of the family's 1533-position model. The record is from RNAcentral.